RNAcentral lists this ribosomal RNA (253 nucleotides) under uncultured bacterium. Its description in RNAcentral is "partial 16S ribosomal RNA". It matches the Rfam family "Bacterial small subunit ribosomal RNA", at positions 524 to 776 of the family's 1533-position model. The record is from RNAcentral.
UACAGGGGGUGCAAACGUUGCUCGGAAUUAUUGGGCGUAAAGCGCGCGUAGGCGGCUACUUAAGUCGGAUGUGAAAGCCCUUGGCUCAACUGAGGAAGUGCACCCGAAACUGAGUGGCUAGAGUACGAAAGAGGGUCGCGGAAUUCACGGUGUAGCAGUGAAAUGCGUAGAUAUCGUGAGGAAGACCAGUGGCGAAGGCGGAUCUCUGGAGAGUUCCUGACGCUGAGGCACGAAGGCCAGGGGAGCAAACGGG